RNAcentral lists this transfer RNA (76 nucleotides) under Synergistaceae bacterium. Its description in RNAcentral is "tRNA-Thr". It matches the Rfam family "tRNA". From Rfam's summary of the family: Transfer RNA (tRNA) molecules are approximately 80 nucleotides in length. Their secondary structure includes four short double-helical elements and three loops (D, anti-codon, and T loops). Lineage: Bacteria; Thermotogati; Synergistota; Synergistia; Synergistales; Synergistaceae. The record is from RNAcentral.
GCCGGCUUAGCUCAGCAGGUAGAGCGCAUCCUCGGUAAGGAUGAGGUCUCCGGUUCGAUUCCGGAAGCCGGCUCCA